This 411-nucleotide ribosomal RNA is filed under the name uncultured bacterium. RNAcentral describes it as "bacterial SSU rRNA". It matches the Rfam family "Bacterial small subunit ribosomal RNA", at positions 335 to 762 of the family's 1533-position model. The record is from RNAcentral.
ACUCCUACGGGAGGCAGCAGUGAGGAAUAUUGGACAAUGGGGCAACCCUGAUCCAGCCAUGCCGCGUGAGUGAUGACGGCCUUAGGGUUGUAAAGCUCUUUCGCUAGGGAAGAUAAUGACGGUACCUAGUAAAGAAGCCCGGCUAACUUCGUGCCAGCAGCCGCGGUAAUACGAAGGGGGCGUAGCGUUGUUCGGAAUCACUGGGGCGUAAAGCGCGCGUAGGCGGACUUUUAAGUCAGGGGUGAAAUCCCGAGGCUCAACCUCGGAACUGCCUUUUGAUACUGGAAGUCUUGAGUUCGAGAGAGGUGAGUGGAAUACCGAGUGUAGAGGUGAAAUUCGUAGAUAUUCGGUGGAACACCAGUGGCGAAGGCGGCUCACUGGCUCGAUACUGACGCUGAGGUGCGAAAGCGU